Molecule: ribosomal RNA, 497 nt
Filed under: uncultured bacterium
Lineage: Bacteria
Description: partial 16S ribosomal RNA
Rfam family: Bacterial small subunit ribosomal RNA
Source: RNAcentral
GAUGAACGCUGGCGGCGUGCCUAAUACAUGCAAGUCGAGCGAACGGACGAGAAGCUUGCUUCUCUGAUGUUAGCGGCGGACGGGUGAGUAACACGUGGAUAACCUACCUAUAAGACUGGGAUAACUUCGGGAAACCGGAGCUAAUACCGGAUAAUAUUUUGAACCGCAUGGUUCAAAAGUGAAAGACGGUCUUGCUGUCACUUAUAGAUGGAUCCGCGCUGCAUUAGCUAGUUGGUAAGGUAACGGCUUACCAAGGCAACGAUGCAUAGCCGACCUGAGAGGGUGAUCGGCCACACUGGAACUGAGAAACGGUCCAGACUCCUACGGGAGGCAGCAGUAGGGAAUCUUCCGCAAUGGGCGAAAGCCUGACGGAGCAACGCCGCGUGAGUGAUGAAGGUCUUCGGAUCGUAAAACUCUGUUAGUAGGGAAGAACAUAUGUGUAAGUAACUGUGCACAUCUUGACGGUACCUAAUCAGAAAGCCACGGCUAACUACGUG